This 665-nucleotide ribosomal RNA is filed under the name Burkholderia sp. M1248. Its description in RNAcentral is "bacterial SSU rRNA". It matches the Rfam family "Bacterial small subunit ribosomal RNA", at positions 90 to 753 of the family's 1533-position model. The record is from RNAcentral. Lineage: Bacteria; Pseudomonadati; Pseudomonadota; Betaproteobacteria; Burkholderiales; Burkholderiaceae.
GGCGAGUGGCGAACGGGUGAGUAAUACAUCGGAACGUGUCCUGGAGUGGGGGAUAGCCCGGCGAAAGCCGGAUUAAUACCGCAUACGCUCUGUGGAGGAAAGCGGGGGAUCUUCGGACCUCGCGCUCAAGGGGCGGCCGAUGGCAGAUUAGCUAGUUGGUGGGGUAAAGGCCUACCAAGGCGACGAUCUGUAGCUGGUCUGAGAGGACGACCAGCCACACUGGGACUGAGACACGGCCCAGACUCCUACGGGAGGCAGCAGUGGGGAAUUUUGGACAAUGGGGGCAACCCUGAUCCAGCAAUGCCGCGUGUGUGAAGAAGGCCUUCGGGUUGUAAAGCACUUUUGUCCGGAAAGAAAACCUCUGGGUUAAUACCCUGGGGGGAUGACGGUACCGGAAGAAUAAGCACCGGCUAACUACGUGCCAGCAGCCGCGGUAAUACGUAGGGUGCGAGCGUUAAUCGGAAUUACUGGGCGUAAAGCGUGCGCAGGCGGUUCGCUAAGACCGAUGUGAAAUCCCCGGGCUUAACCUGGGAACUGCAUUGGUGACUGGCGGGCUANAGUAUGGCAGAGGGGGGUAGAAUCCACGUGUAGCAGUGAAAUGCGUAGAGAUGUGGAGGAAUACCGAUGGCGAAGGCAGCCCCCUGGGCCAUACUGACGCUCAUGCA